RNAcentral lists this long non-coding RNA (233 nucleotides) under Homo sapiens (human). Its description in RNAcentral is "HSALNT0239852". Lineage: Eukaryota; Metazoa; Chordata; Mammalia; Primates; Hominidae. The record is from RNAcentral.
ACUCCAGCAAGGUGUGGGUCCAGGAAUACAUCAGCAACUGGAAUUAAACCCCGGCAAGGUCUGGACCCAGCAAGAAAAGUGCUAGAGAUGUGAACAGAUUGGGCACAGGGACCCAAAACAGGCAAAAGUCUCUGCAACCUCAGAAACUGAUUCCAGAUCUGGGGGUCUAACUUCAUUUUAAAGGAAGAAGGUGCCAGAGGCUUACUGUUUGCUUAAACUCACAGAAGGCCCUA